This 92-nucleotide transfer RNA is filed under the name Haloferax massiliensis. RNAcentral's name for it is "tRNA-Asp". Lineage: Archaea; Methanobacteriati; Methanobacteriota; Halobacteria; Halobacteriales; Haloferacaceae. The record is from RNAcentral.
CGGUUGCUUUGGACGAUGUUCGUCGUCGCCUGUCUCGUCGCGACAGCGCCCGUGACCGUGGUUUCCGCGGGCGCGGUUCCCGCUGCGUCCGG